Long non-coding RNA from Lemur catta (Ring-tailed lemur), 389 nucleotides. RefSeq lists it as uncharacterized. Lineage: Eukaryota; Metazoa; Chordata; Mammalia; Primates; Lemuridae. The record is from RefSeq and is a predicted model, not a curated record. The transcript is spliced from 3 exons.
CAGGCUGGUCUUGAACUCCUGACCUCAAGUGAUUCUCCUGCCUCAGCCUCCCAGCAUGCCAGGAUUACAGGCGUAAACCACAGCGCUCGGCCAAGGACUAAUAUUCUUAAUGAUCAUGAGGCUCCAGUUACAAGCCACAGAUCCAAACUUGUCAUCUGGAGGAAACAUCAAAAAGCUUCAAAGGACCAUAUUAGGGAGAAACCUCUUUGGACUUUAAAUUCAAAUGAAAAAUUGCCAUAAAUUGGAACAAUAUGUAUCUGAAAGAAUUUAGUUGACUAUACUAUAGAUGCUCCAGGAAGAAAUGCAACUCUGCUGAUACUGAGUUUAGCCUACUGAGACCCAUACUGGACUUGUGACCUACAGAACCGUAAGAUAAUAAAGUUGUGUUG